RNAcentral lists this ribosomal RNA (483 nucleotides) under uncultured bacterium. Its description in RNAcentral is "partial 16S ribosomal RNA". It matches the Rfam family "Bacterial small subunit ribosomal RNA", at positions 28 to 523 of the family's 1533-position model. The record is from RNAcentral.
GACGAACGCUGGCGGCGUGCUUAACACAUGCAAGUCGAACGGUGAAAGCGGAGCUUGCUCCGCUGGAUCAGUGGCGAACGGGUGAGUAACACGUGGGCAACCUGCCCCUGACUUCGGGAUAACUCCUCGAAAGAGGUGCUAAUACCGGAUACGAAUCCUGCAGGCAUCUGCGGGAUUGGAAAGUUUUUCGGUCAGGGAUGGGCCCGCGGCCUAUCAGCUUGUUGGUGAGGUAGUGGCUCACCAAGGCGACGACGGGUAGCCGGCCUGAGAGGGCGAGCUGCCACACUGGGACUGAGACACGGCCCAGACGCCUACGGGAGGCAGCAGCGGGGAAUAUUGCUCGAUGGGCGAAAGCCUGACGCAGCAACGCCGCGUGCGGGAUGACGGCCUUCGGGUUGUAAACAUCUUUCAGCAGGGAAGAAGCGAAAGUGACGGUACCUGCAGAAGAAGCACCGGCUAACUACGUGCCAGCCGCCGCGGUAA